RNAcentral lists this long non-coding RNA (1359 nucleotides) under Heterocephalus glaber (naked mole-rat). RNAcentral's name for it is "lncRNA (ENSHGLG00000038763.1)". Lineage: Eukaryota; Metazoa; Chordata; Mammalia; Rodentia; Bathyergidae. The record is from RNAcentral.
CGCUAACUAUCUCAGUAAGUCACUUUCUCAGGGCCCCACUUCUCAGGGAGCCAUCCCAAUUCACCUUUUGGCCCUAUUUUUUCACCGUGGUUGUUGGCCAUGUUUUCCUAACUGAUCUCAUAAAUCAGGAAAUUUCAUGCUUGUAGACGCAAGACAUCCUGGGCUCUAAUUGAGCACUGCACUACUGGACAUUACUGCACCGAACAGUAAGCACACAGUACAACUGUGACAAUGUCUGGAAGACACGUAUGAAGCCUGAAGAACAGAGAGUACAUUUUUUGGGAAAAUGCUUACUGUAAAUCCUGGGACUCUGAAGAGGUUAUUCUGACAAGUCAUUUUCCCUGGUGUGUCUUUGAUGUCUUUUCUUAAGGCUGUAGUUUCUUCUCCAAGCUGUGUGGUAAUCUACUGGAUGGCAGCACUACAACUUGAGCAUUCUUCCGCUGAUACUAUGUAAUGUUCCUAUGUGCUCAGUGGAGACAAUUAUUGCCUGUCUAUGUGAGCUGCUUUUUCAAGGAAGGAAAUGACUGAAGAAAUGGGAACGCUGUCAACAUUGAGAUGAAUAUGAGGGACGGAGGGAUAUGUUUGUUUUAAAGAAAGAAAUAAAACAGCAUUUGAAAUUUUUUUUAGAGUGUGAACUUUUUCCAGGCUAGAUCCAGGUAGAGCGACUUCAAGGCUCAGAGGCCGAGAACGUGUGGCUACUGGGUUUCAGAACUCUGGUCUUCUAACUCCAGUUUCCACACUUCUGUCACCAGCUACUCUUUGAACAUGAACCUGAUGUCCUUUGAGGUCACUCCUGCAACCUGAUCUCAAUUCUAGUUUGACCUCACCUUCUCAUGGGAGCCCAGUUUCUACUGAUGAAAAUCCUGCAGACUUGGACAUGAUAGAACUUCGAGCUGUGAGCUGCCAUUCAGCCUCUGUUGCCAUCUCUGAUGCCCUAGAACCCAUGAUGUCUUGAGGAUGUCUAUUCUAAAAGAGUGCUGCUCUGGGUCUCCGUUGACUUACCCGUGGGCCGGGACAAGUGGCGCCCAACGUGGGGCCAGAGAACGGGGAGAUCCAGUGAAGAACGCUGCUCGGGGGCCCAAUAAAAUAAAAUAGAAAAAGGAGGAUUGCGUCUGACGUGAACCUGCCGUCUUUCCUGCACCUCGGUUAAGAAGGUGACAUCCCUGAUUCCGUUGCAUGGUCUGUUGCUGUUCCUGGCAUCGACAACAAAAAGUGGAUUUCAACCAGUUAACAAACAACAAUUGCUCAUUGCCCUGUAUGGUAACCCCUGUGACUGUGCUGGGGGUUCUGGCAGGGCUGCACCCACAAGUUACACUCGUAGUACUGAUUGCGGUGACAAGAUUGCCUACUUAGUUUAUG